UCCCAGUACUGUAUUUUCUCCCUUCACCA
RNAcentral lists this non-coding RNA (29 nucleotides) under Mus musculus (house mouse). Lineage: Eukaryota; Metazoa; Chordata; Mammalia; Rodentia; Muridae. The record is from RNAcentral.